CUUGAUCGACCCGAGCCACAGCGGCGUCUCCCGGUCUUGACCGUAGGCGGCCAGCAGGGCCUGCGCCUC
This 69-nucleotide antisense RNA is filed under the name Streptosporangium subroseum. Its description in RNAcentral is "ASpks TB sRNA". It matches the Rfam family "ASpks TB sRNA". The record is from Rfam by way of RNAcentral. Lineage: Bacteria; Bacillati; Actinomycetota; Actinomycetes; Streptosporangiales; Streptosporangiaceae.